This 350-nucleotide ribosomal RNA is filed under the name uncultured bacterium. Its description in RNAcentral is "partial 16S ribosomal RNA". It matches the Rfam family "Bacterial small subunit ribosomal RNA", at positions 338 to 681 of the family's 1533-position model. The record is from RNAcentral.
CCUACGGGAGGCUGCAGUAGGGAAUGUUCGUCAAUGGGCGCAAGCCUGAACGAGCAAUGCCGCGUGAAAGAGGAAGGUCUUCGGAUCGUAAAGUUCUGUUGAAGGGGAAAAAGAGCGGAGAGAGGAAAUGAACUCCGAUUGAUAUUACCCGUCGAGGAAGUCACGGCUAACGACGUGCCAGCAGCCGCGGUAAUACCGAGGUGUCCAGCGUUAUCCGGAAUUACUGGGCGUAAAGGGUGCGUAGGUGGUGUCGUAAGUCAGAGGUGAAAGGUUACGGCUCACCCGUAGUAAGCCUUUGCAACUGGGAACCUUGAGUGCAGGUGCGGCGAGUGGCAUUCCUCGUGUAGCGG